RNAcentral lists this ribosomal RNA (405 nucleotides) under uncultured bacterium. RNAcentral's name for it is "bacterial SSU rRNA". It matches the Rfam family "Bacterial small subunit ribosomal RNA", at positions 354 to 776 of the family's 1533-position model. The record is from RNAcentral.
GUAGGGAAUAUUGCACAAUGGGGGAAACCCUGAUGCAGCGACGCCGCGUGAAGGAAGAAGUAUUUCGGUAUGUAAACUUCUAUCAGCAAGGAAGAAAAUGACGGUACUUGACUAAGAAGCCCCGGCUAAAUACGUGCCAGCAGCCGCGGUAAUACGUAUGGGGCAAGCGUUAUCCGGAUUUACUGGGUGUAAAGGGAGCGUAGGCGGUACGGCAAGUCAGAAGUGAAAGCCUGGGGCUCAACCCCGGAAUUGCUUUUGAAACUGUCGAACUAGAGUGUCGGAGGGGUAAGCGGAAUUCCUAGUGUAGCGGUGAAAUGCGUAGAUAUUAGGAGGAACACCGGUGGCGAAGGCGGCUUACUGGACGAUUACUGACGCUGAGGCUCGAAAGCGUGGGGAGCAAACAGG